GACGAACGCUGGCGGCGUGCUUAACACAUGCAAGUCGAACGGAAAGGCCCUGCUUUUGUGGGGUGCUCGAGUGGCGAACGGGUGAGUAACACGUGAGUAACCUGCCCUUGACUUUGGGAUAACUUCAGGAAACUGGGGCUAAUACCGGAUAGGAGCUCCUGCUGCAUGGUGGGGGUUGGAAAGUUUCGGCGGUUGGGGAUGGACUCGCGGCUUAUCAGCUUGUUGGUGGGGUAGUGGCUUACCAAGGCUUUGACGGGUAGCCGGCCUGAGAGGGUGACCGGCGACAUUGGGACUGAGAUACGGCCCAGACUCCUACGGGAGGCAGCAGUGGGGAAUAUUGCACAAUGGGCGGAAGCCUGAUGCAGAAACGCCGCGUGCGGGAUGACGGCCUUCGGGUUGUAAAACGCUUUCGCCUGUGACGAAGCGGGAGUGACGGUAAUGGGUAAAGAAGCACCGGCUAACUACGUG
RNAcentral lists this ribosomal RNA (468 nucleotides) under uncultured bacterium. Its description in RNAcentral is "partial 16S ribosomal RNA". It matches the Rfam family "Bacterial small subunit ribosomal RNA", at positions 28 to 507 of the family's 1533-position model. The record is from RNAcentral.